UAGCGGCGUGGNUUAGGCAUGCGCGUCGAACGGGAUCCAGGCUUCGGUCUGGUGAGAGUGGCGAAAGGGUGAGUAAUGCUUAGAUAACCCACCUUUGGCUCCGGGAUAACCGAGGGAAGCUUCGGCUAAUACCGGAUAGGGUCGGCGGAUCGCAUGAUCUGCCGAAUAAAGAGGCCUCUGAAUAUGCUAUUCGGCCAAAGACGGGUCUAAGUCCUAUCAGCUUGUUGGUGAGGUAAUGGCUCACCAAGGCGACGACGGGUAGCCGGCCUGAGAGGGCGAUCGGCCACACUGGAACUGAGACACUGUCCAGACUCCUACGGGAGGCUGCAGUCGAGAAUCUUCCGCAAUGGGGGCAACCCUGACGGAGCGACGCCGCGUGCGGGACGAAGGCCUUCGGGUUGUAAACCGCUGUCGUAGGUUAAGAAAUGUCUUGUCGUGAAAGCGGCUUGACUUGACAAAGGCCUAAAAGGAAGCCACGGCUAACUUCGUGCCAGCAGCCGCGGUAAGACGAAGGUGGCAACCGUUGUUCGGAAUCACUGGGCAUAAAGAGCACGUAGGCGGGUCUUUAAGUCGGGUGUGAAAUCCCUCGGCCCAACCGAGGAACUGCCCCCGAUACUGAAGGCCUUGAGGGCAGGAGGGGAGUGUGGAAUUCCUG
This 655-nucleotide ribosomal RNA is filed under the name uncultured bacterium. Its description in RNAcentral is "bacterial SSU rRNA". It matches the Rfam family "Bacterial small subunit ribosomal RNA", at positions 37 to 672 of the family's 1533-position model. The record is from RNAcentral.